This 319-nucleotide ribosomal RNA is filed under the name uncultured Bacillus sp. Its description in RNAcentral is "bacterial SSU rRNA". It matches the Rfam family "Bacterial small subunit ribosomal RNA", at positions 1061 to 1382 of the family's 1533-position model. Lineage: Bacteria; Bacillati; Bacillota; Bacilli; Caryophanales; Bacillaceae. The record is from RNAcentral.
CGUGUCGUGAGAUGUUGGGUUAAGUCCCGCAACGAGCGCAACCCUUGAUCUUAGUUGCCAGCAUUCAGUUGGGCACUCUAAGGUGACUGCCGGUGACAAACCGGAGGAAGGUGGGGAUGACGUCAAAUCGUCAUGCCCCUUAUGACCUGGGCUACACACGUGCUACAAUGGAUGGUACAAAGGCUGCAAGACCGCGAGGUUUAGCCAAUCCCAUAAAACCAUUCUCAGUUCGGAUUGCAGGCUGCAACUCGCCUGCAUGAAGCCGGAAUCGCUAGUAAUCGCGGAUCAGCAUGCCGCGGUGAAUACGUUCCCGGGCCUU